This 265-nucleotide long non-coding RNA is filed under the name Lathyrus oleraceus (garden pea). RNAcentral describes it as "Pisum sativum (pea) long non-coding RNA (PSAT_LNC035076)". Lineage: Eukaryota; Viridiplantae; Streptophyta; Magnoliopsida; Fabales; Fabaceae. The record is from RNAcentral.
UUGAUCAUUUUGGUGAAUUCAGUUUAUUUUUUCGGCCAUUUUUGUAUCCGAUUUUUUGGUCAUUCUUCAUCCGUUUAUUUUCUUUCUUUUAUUAAAUUAAUCAUAAAAUAUUUUAGAAUUUAUUAUUUAGUUAAAUUAAUUUAUUUUUUAUUCAUUUAAUUUAUUUUUUGUUUUUUAUGUUAAUUUUUAAUGUUUUAAUUAUUAAACAUAUAUGUGCAUGAUUUGUUUGUUGGAUUUUGAAGAAAGAUCUUCAGCAAACAACCAC